This 401-nucleotide ribosomal RNA is filed under the name uncultured bacterium. RNAcentral describes it as "bacterial SSU rRNA". It matches the Rfam family "Bacterial small subunit ribosomal RNA", at positions 356 to 774 of the family's 1533-position model. The record is from RNAcentral.
GGGGAAUCUUGCACAAUGGGGGCAACCCUGAUGCAGCGACGCCGCGUGAGCGAUGAAGCCCUUCGGGGCGUAAAGCUCUUUCGACCGGAACGAUAAUGACGGUACCGGGAGAAGAAGCUGCGGCUAACUACGUGCCAGCAGCCGCGGUAAUACGUAGGCAGCAAGCGUUGUUCGGAGUUACUGGGCGUAAAGAGUGCGUAGGCGGUUUUCUAAGUUCGGUGUGAAAUCUCCCGGCUUAACUGGGAGGGUGCGCCGAAGACUGGGAAGCUGGAGUGUGGGAAAGGCAGGCGGAAUUCCUGGUGUAGCGGUGAAAUGCGUAGAUAUCAGGAGGAACACCGGCGGUGUAGACGGCUUGCUAGACCAUAACUGGCGCUGAGGCACGAAAGCGUGGGUAGCAAACA